GGCGCCGUGGCAGAGUGGUCUAAUGCGAUAGACUAGAAAUACCUUGGGUGCUUCUGGCCAUCUAUUCUCUUCGGAGGCGCAUGUUCGAAUCAUGCCGGCGUCG
Molecule: non-coding RNA, 103 nt
Organism: Diaporthe sp. PMI_573
Lineage: Eukaryota; Fungi; Ascomycota; Sordariomycetes; Diaporthales; Diaporthaceae
Source: the annotation of a GenBank genome assembly